RNAcentral lists this long non-coding RNA (985 nucleotides) under Penaeus japonicus. RNAcentral describes it as "uncharacterized LOC122246926". Lineage: Eukaryota; Metazoa; Arthropoda; Malacostraca; Decapoda; Penaeidae. The record is from RNAcentral.
UUUCAAUAGAGGCAAUAGAGGGUUCAAAAAGGAAAAGUUAAUGAUAUUGUGAACUGAUUUUAUGAUGAUGUCAUUUUAUUGAUUGGAUGAAGAAAUGAGUUUCUUAGAAACAUUAAAAUGCAGUGAAAGUUAUUCUCAAAAUUAUUUUUUAGGCAAUGACUAUGAAAUUAUAAAUAUAUAUCUUAUAAAUUUUUAACUAAGUUCUUGAAAUUUGUUUACAGUUGUCCAAGAGCACAAUGCGUAUGCUCUUAAUGUUUGGCGUCGUGUGAAAGUUAAACUAGAAGGGAGGGACCUUGAGCCCUCGAGAAGAGCGUCAGUGGCGGAACAGGUGGACUACACCAUCAGGGAAGCCACAAACUUGGAUAACUUGGCAACCUUGUACGAAGGAUGGACACCAUGGGUGUAAAGAACCAAGAAAAGAAUACUAUUUUGAAAUAUUUUGUUGUCGCCCAUGUCUUCAGUGUACAAUUAUGACUAAUUUGGUACCAUCACUUUUUCUUCUGCCUGGUGAUUCAAUUCUCACUUACUCUGUGAUACUUUGAAUGUGAAAGCAGAUUUCCUAAAUGUCUAAUGCACUGUGUUGUUCAUUAGAAUUGUUACAUUGCCCAAUUCAUAUAUAAUUAAUAAAUAUAUGGUCUAUUCCUUGCAUUUAUAGUUUGUUUACAUAUUAAUUGUGUAUUAAUUCAAAUGAAAAUUUUAUUUUAAAUAUAAUAUGCUUUGUCACAUCAGAUAUGGUUUUCAUGACAACCAUUAAAUAUAACAAUAUAGACCAACAUGCCUUCAGAUGUAAAGUAAAUGUCUAUAGUAGCUAAUUCGGCGAAGAACAAACUUGUCAAAAUUCCAUAUAAUUUGCCUUUAUAUACACAGCACAUGUAUAUUUUCUUUUUUGUAAAGGAUGAUAAUGGUAAUGAAAAACAAAAUAAGCAUUUUUUUUUUUCUCAAAAAGUAAAACAAUUAUUACAACAAGUACUACAAUAACGAGAAA